RNAcentral lists this ribosomal RNA (453 nucleotides) under uncultured bacterium. Its description in RNAcentral is "bacterial SSU rRNA". It matches the Rfam family "Bacterial small subunit ribosomal RNA", at positions 335 to 800 of the family's 1533-position model. The record is from RNAcentral.
ACUCCUACGGGAGGCAGCAGUGGGGAAUAUUGCACAAUGGGCGAAAGCCUGAUGCAGCGACGCCGCGUGGGGGAUGAAGGCCUUCGGGUUGUAAACCCCUUUAGUCAGGGAAGAAGCGAAAGUGACGGUACCUGCAGAAAAGCGACCGGCUAACUACGUGCCAGCAGCCGCGGUAAUACGUAGGGCGCAAGCGUUGUCCGGAAUUAUUGGGCGUAAAGAGCUCGUAGGCGGUUUGUCGCGUCUGCUGUGAAAUCCCGAGGCUCAACCUCGGGCCUGCAGUGGGUACGGGCAAACUAGAGUGUGGUAGGGGAGACUGGAAUUCCUGGUGUAGCGGUGGAAUGCGCAGAUAUCAGGAGGAACACCAAUGGCGAAGGCAGGUCUCUGGGCCACUACUGACGCUGAGGAGCGAAAGCGUGGGGAGCGAACAGGAUUAGAUACCCUGGUAGGCUCUGC